RNAcentral lists this ribosomal RNA (893 nucleotides) under Campylobacter concisus. RNAcentral's name for it is "bacterial SSU rRNA". It matches the Rfam family "Bacterial small subunit ribosomal RNA", at positions 52 to 964 of the family's 1533-position model. Lineage: Bacteria; Pseudomonadati; Campylobacterota; Epsilonproteobacteria; Campylobacterales; Campylobacteraceae. The record is from RNAcentral.
UACAUGCAGUCGAACGGACGAGUAAGAGCUUGCUCUUAUGAGUUAGUGGCGCACGGGUGAGAAAUGUAUAGCUAAUCUGCCCUACACUAGAGGACAACAGUUGGAAACGACUGCUAAUACUCUAUACACCUCUCUAGCAUAAGUUAGAUAGGGAAAGUUUUUCGGUGUAGGAUGAGGCUAUAUUGUAUCAGCUAGUUGGUGAGGUAAUGGCUCACCAAGGCUAUGACGCAUAACUGGUCUGAGAGGAUGAUCAGUCACACUGGAACUGAGACACGGUCCAGACUCCUACGGGAGGCAGCAGUAGGGAAUAUUGCUCAAUGGGGGAAACCCUGAAGCAGCAACGCCGCGUGGAGGAUGACACUUUUCGGAGCGUAAACUCCUUUUGUUAGGGAAGAACAAUGACGGUACCUAACGAAUAAGCACCGGCUAACUCCGUGCCAGCAGCCGCGGUAAUACGGAGGGUGCAAGCGUUACUCGGAAUCACUGGGCGUAAAGGACGCGUAGGCGGAUUAUCAAGUCUCUUGUGAAAUCCUAUGGCUUAACCAUAGAACUGCUUGGGAAACUGAUAAUCUAGAGUGAGGGAGAGGCAGAUGGAAUUGGUGGUGUAGGGGUAAAAUCCGUAGAGAUCACCAGGAAUACCCAUUGCGAAGGCGAUCUGCUGGAACUCAACUGACGCUAAUGCGUGAAAGCGUGGGGAGCAAACAGGAUUAGAUACCCUGGUAGUCCACGCCCUAAACGAUGUAUACUAGUUGUUGCUAAGCUAGUCUUGGCAGUAAUGCACCUAACGGAUUAAGUAUACCGCCUGGGGAGUACGGUCGCAAGAUUAAAACUCAAAGGAAUAGACGGGACCCGCACAAGCGGUGGAGCAUGUGGUUUAAUUCGAAGAUACGCGA